UACGUAGGGGGCAAGCGUUGUCCGGAUUUAUUGGGCGUAAAGAGCGUGUAGGCGGUUCGGUAGGUCCGUUGUGAAAACUCGAGGCUCAACCUCGAGACGCCGAUGGAAACCCUCGAACUAGAGUCCGGAAGAGGAGAAUGGAAUUCCUGGUGUAGCGGUGAAAUGCGCAGAUAUCAGGAAGAACACCCGUGGCUAAGGCGGCUCACUGGCCCGAUACUGACGCUGAGGCACGAAAGCGUGGGGAGCAAACAGG
This 253-nucleotide ribosomal RNA is filed under the name uncultured bacterium. Its description in RNAcentral is "partial 16S ribosomal RNA". It matches the Rfam family "Bacterial small subunit ribosomal RNA", at positions 524 to 776 of the family's 1533-position model. The record is from RNAcentral.